CUUGUCGUGUCGCGGAAGCAGCGCCAUUGCUGGAUGAUGGCGCGCGCGAAUAGGCACCGCGGUUCGAGGUUAGGUCGUUGCUAAAUCAGUCUGGGUUGAUAUCAUUGAUUGCGCGAUUUUGGAAGGGAUUUUAGGUUGGACAAAGUCACCAUGGCCGGAAGCCGAUGAGCAGUAGCGAAUUCAGGGUAGGACUAAUGGAGGAGUGUGUGGUUCAAUCCAUAAUUAUGAGUGCCUUGCAGUGAACACACUUUUCUGAGGAAGAAUGAAAGAUAGAAUGAAUGACAAAUAUUAUAUUUGGGAAAAUAAUUUCACGGACAAACAAUAUAGUUAUAUUCUUGAGCAAAAUAAAGUUUGCUUUCUUAUAUUUACUUUGAAAGCAUUGUUUCUAUUACAAGUAGCUUAAAGAAUAUAUUUAUAUACUAUACGAUAGUUCAUUUGUUUGUUUUAACGUAAUGUAUUUAAUUUAGACUUGACAAAUCAUUAGUGAUGUUACAUCAUUGAUCUAUCUAGUGUAAAUGGUGUAUCAACGUCACAAAUGACACAUUUUGUAAAUUUACGUAUCAUUAUAUUUAUAUAGAGUAUAAUAUGUACGGUGAGUAUAAUAUGUAGAGAAUAAUAUGUACGGUGUAAAGUAAUUCAUCAUACUUUUCACCACGUCUAUAACAAUCUCCAUGCGUAUUGUCGAAUGUGUGUUUGCAUAAAAUGAAGAAUAUGGUUGCUGUAGUAACUGACGGAAGCACUGAAUUUAUCGUGUGACCGCUGUAUAUGCAUUUCGUGUGUACCCAUCACAUGUUUAUCCUCUUUUUCCACCAUACCAAGAGUAGCUGUUCCGAAAUAUCGAUCGAUGUUACUCAGCGUUCGUUACGCCGAAUAAUAAAUGCGAAUUAUAAUGUAUUUACGAACGAAAGCAAAAGUUAUUCUAUGAAAUAACAAUUGGAUGAAUAUAUUACCCGAUAUUGAUAGAUGCCAUGACUACGCGAGAAGGGCGAGUAGCUAUUAAUAGAAACUUUUAACGCGAUGAAAUUUAUGUCUCAUAACUUAAUUUUGCCUGUCAGGCGUCUUCAUCGUUCGUUUUAUCUACGUUCCUCGUUCAUUCUGUUUUCGACUUUGUUCGCUUAUCUUUAGGUACCAAUAUUUUUGAAAUCUAUGAAAAUACAUAAAAUGUUUGUAGAUUCUAAGCGUUAACAAUUAAAGUAGCUAAGUGCAAGAAUUUAGAUAAAUUAAUUUUGUGGGGACACCUUGGGGGAUUAGUAACCAACUAUUCUUGUUAAUGUAUUUGUUGCAACGAAGGCAAGCAAAGGUCUUUACUUGACAAAUUACCAACGAUAGUUAUGUAAAAUACUAACAGAAGAUGAAACCUAUUUUGUAGAUUUUGUGAAUUUAUCGACUAUUGAAAAUUUAAUUUUAGUAUUGAACCAUCAAAUAAGUCGGAAAACAAAAUGAACACGACGAACGAAAAGAGGACUUUGCAGACUGAAUUUAGUUGAGAUUUUAUAAACUUACCAGUCAAACAAUUAACACGUGAAAUUUGUAUUGUAUUUGUAUUAAUAAGAUUUCCUAUAAAUUUACUUGUAUUCGUUAUUGGAAGCAUAAUUGGCAAACAAGGACGCAAUUUUCUUCCAUUUUUACUGCAAUUCUGCGUUCAUCGAUGAGUAUAGAGAUUGCGAGACGGCCACGAACACGAGAUCGUGUGCAUUUGGAGGAAUAGGUGCGGCAAGUAUCGCUUCGCGUUAAUUUUUGGUGGUUUUACAGGUAGUUGCAUCAGCGUAACCAGUGGAUGAUCGAUCGGCUGGAAAUCUCCGCAACGUUAUCGGUGGAAUUAACCCUUGAGGUAGUCUGUGUCUCGCGGGCCCUUCAGUCACUUGAAAUUAUCGCCGAGCACGAUAGCUAAAUCAACGUCCUAGAUUACAUCGCGCCCUUCCUGCACGAAUCACCGUACCGCGCAUGCGCGCACGCUAUUCGUCCGACUGUCUCAUGGCUGACCACUGCCGGUGAAGAACUACUUUUGGUUUUCCCCUGUCUGGAGCACGUUUCGCGUUGCAUUCACGCCAGGCUGACGUAGCCUUCAGUGGCCCCCGACCCACGAAAAAGUUAUAUCCCCGGUGUGACCGCCAGCCCACAAAUUUAUUUCCCAACGAAAUAUCCUCCGUUAACGCGAGAACUCUCACGGUAAGCUGUAAUAAUUUAAUCCUGACCGGCCUGUUAAUAAACAAAUGCGAUCGAUCGAUCGUUAUUAACUUCGCGCCGUUCCUGUUUGCCAUCGGAACAGGACACGUGGCUUCCAAUAUCGUUUCAUCCUAGUUUCCUCGCCUUUCGAAGACCGGUAGGGCUGAGGUUAUGCGAACAAUUUUAUUAUGAUCGAGUGACUGUAGAGUUGCGAAUUAAAUGUUGGUUUAUUUAAUGAUAAACGUAACAAAAAUAAAUCUAGAGCUGAGGAACACUGCGUUUCUCAAAAGGGAAAGUUUCGUUUCUGCUGCCUUCGUAGUUGGGCCUCUGACAGUAUUUGUGUUCAAGAGGGCAGUGUGAAAAACGUGUGGCAGGCCCAAGCCGUAUUUUUCUUUUACGGCGUAGGGGCCGGUUUUCCUAUGUGCUUUGGAAAAAGACCUCUCUCUUAGUUUGAAUCUUGAAGCGAAAAGACGUCCUUCCGUGUCCUAACAAUAAAGGAUAUAAUAUAAAGAUUUAAAGACUGUGAAUUUCCUCUCUUUACGAAUCGUAUAAUCCAAUAUUAAAUGUAAUCGGUAUGGUUUAUUGAAAGCGUGAUUAACCCUUUGCACUCGAGGACUUUUUUUCUGGUAUCUACUACAGCAACUGGAGAUGUUUCUUAGCAUU
This is a long non-coding RNA of Hylaeus volcanicus, 2829 nucleotides long. RefSeq lists it as uncharacterized. The record is from RefSeq and is a predicted model, not a curated record. The transcript is spliced from 3 exons. Lineage: Eukaryota; Metazoa; Arthropoda; Insecta; Hymenoptera; Colletidae.